AGAGUUUGAUCAUGGCUCAGAAUCAACGCUGGCGGCGUGCCUAACACAUGCAAGUCGAACGCGGAAGCCCCGCAAGGGGUAAGUAGAGUGGCAAACGGGUGAGUAACACGUGGGUGACCUGCCUUCGAGUGGGGGAUAACGUCCCGAAAGGGACGCUAAUACCGCAUGACAUCCUGCUCUUGGACGAGCGGAGAUCAAAGCUGGGGAUCGCAAGACCUGGCGCUUGAAGAGGGGCCCGCGCCUGAUUAGCUAGUUGGUAGGGUAAUGGCCUACCAAGGCUACGAUCAGUAGCCGGCCUGAGAGGGCGGACGGCCACACUGGGACUGAGACACGGCCCAGACUCCUACGGGAGGCAGCAGUGGGGAAUUGUUCGCAAUGGGCGCAAGCCUGACGACGCAACGCCGCGUGGAGGACGAAGAUCUUCGGGUCGUAAACUCCUGUCGACCGGGAAGAACGUUCCAGGGGCGAAUAGCCUCCUGGAGGUGACGGUACCGGUAAAGGAAGCCCCGGCUAACUCCGUGCCAGCAGCCGCGGUA
Molecule: ribosomal RNA, 536 nt
Filed under: uncultured Acidobacteriota bacterium
Lineage: Bacteria; Pseudomonadati; Acidobacteriota
Description: bacterial SSU rRNA
Rfam family: Bacterial small subunit ribosomal RNA
Source: RNAcentral